This 2844-nucleotide long non-coding RNA is filed under the name Zea mays. RNAcentral's name for it is "long non-coding RNA (ZMAY_LNC000292)". The record is from RNAcentral. Lineage: Eukaryota; Viridiplantae; Streptophyta; Magnoliopsida; Poales; Poaceae.
GGGUAUAGAGAUACACACUAUUCAUGAUUAUAUUUUUAUGAUCACUUGUUAUUUACUGUUCAUGUUAAGAUCAUUAUGUUAAUUUGUAACACCCCACUGAUCCCACACAAUGGAUGAUACCAAAAAAAACCUUUCUACAAAACUUAUGCAACACAUAGAGAAAGAAAGUAUUGCAAAAUCCGGCAGCACCUCCCUUGAAAGUAGCAUAACAAGGGAAGCAUAUAGUUUAUACAGGAUAUAAAAGAAAGAUAAUUGACAUAGUAUAAUCAAAAUGCAACAAUAGAAAAGAACAUUCAUGACCAGACAAAAGAUAGACAUCUCAGCCCACCAAACUAAACAGUUCAACUACCAUGAAAGAUUAGAAUGUAAUAAUUCCCUAGACUUGACUCUUCCUGUUUAACAUCAUUAUUAAUCAGUUAUUCCUUUAUUUAAAAGUGUGGUGGCCGUGCUGCUACAUCCCUUCCUUCCCAAAGCAAAGAUCAGGUGCCUGCAUCAAACAAUGCAAGAGUGAGAUGACACAUCUCAGCAAGUAAAAAAAACAAACAACAGUUGGACAAUGCAAGCCAACCGUGCAUAAGCAACCACACGGUUCCCAACUUCCUCCUUAAAUAUUAAUUUGCAGCAAGUAAGCAAGUAAUCAAUUACUCAAUGCCAAGAUGAAUUACAAAGUAAAGAUCCACCUUAUCCACAUCACCAAAAUAGGUUCCACACUUCACCCAUGAAUGCACAUGGCUACAGAUGCAACAUGACUUCUGCCUUCAUACCUCUAAGGAUAUGAAGCUGCAUCAUACCCCUUCUCGGGAAACAUAUGAUGCUCAUUGUACCGGUACGGUCGGACCAUAAGAUCGCGACGAAACUUCAAUGCAAUGGAUGAUGAAUGCAUUAUGCAUGUCAACAACAUGAGUUCUUCCCAAAUAAGAUGUGCUAGACAUAUACUUCCACCCAUUUCACAUCAAUAACCACAUGGGUAACAUGAUCAAACCACACCCUCCACAUGUAUAAUCAAUAAAGCAGGAAUAAUUUCAAACGAUGGUACCCAAUUAGGAAUAUGGAUACGAACACAAAUAGCACAAACGUAAUCAAGUAUAAGACUCUUCAAUCAAAAGACGAAAUAACCAUCACUGUUUUACUUGCCUUUACCGAAGUUCGGGCAAAAUCCCUAAGAACGAUCCGGAAGUCCACCACCUGUUUUUGACACCCAACUUAGUGCACCAAAUUCUCAUGAAAAAAAACUCAAAGACAACACCGCACCUACGCGCAAUCUCAAACCCCGCCGCGGUAACAAUUCUCCCCUCACUAACCAAACUGCAGCGGCGCUGCUUAACAAUUCCAUAACUUAAAAUUUAGGACAGCAGUGAUGAUAAACAAAAACUUCAGAGACAACUACAUAAAAUUCCCCACAAGUUUUGUAUACAACUCAUGACUGAAUUCUAACAUCUACUUACCUCUAAACGGUCCUCAAAAUAAACCCUGCAAUCUGUUUUUUUCUGAUUUGAGCAGCGACAUACGCGGAUUCAAACAGCGAUAACUUUUAAAAUAUAAUUCCGAUUUGAGCGCAUAAGUACUUGUUGGAAAGAUAAGAAAAAGCCCUACAUGAUUCUCAUACUGAUUAACACUAAUUACUCCCGAAACAUCCCCAGAAACUGCUAACACUGCUGCUGUUCAUCACUCUGAAAAAAUCUGUUUUCUGGACAGCCACAUACCCGGAUUCAAACGAUGAUAACUUUUAAUUUAUAACUCCAAAUUGAGCGCAUAAAUACUCGUUGGAAAGAUAAAACAAAGUUCUACAAGAUUCUCAUACUGAUUAACACUAAUUGCUCCCGAAAAAUCCCCAGAAACUGCUAACACUGCUGCUGUUCAUCACUCUGAAAAAUCUGUUUUCUGGACAGCCACAUACCCGGAUUCAAACGAUGAUAACUUUUAAUUUAUAACUCCAAAUUGAGCGUAUAAAUACUCGUUGGAAAGAUAAAACAAAGUUCUACAAGAUUCCCAAAUUGAUCCCCAUUAAAUCUUCACGAAAAAAACUAAAAACUGCUGGAACUACCGCUGUUCAUCCACCACGCAAAAUUCUGGACAGCCCCCCUCUAUCUAAUCGCAAACGCAACAUCUCAUCAAUUGAAUCGCAGCGCAAAUGAACAAGGGAUGAACACAAAAGAAAAAUCACCUUGGGUUCUCCCCUUUUCCUUCCUCCCUUCUUCCUUCCACCAAAACGAUUGGAGAUUCGCACCAAAAGACGAUGAUCCGAGCGACACGGAGUAGCACCUAGGGAGGAGGGGAUUGGGGGGGGGGGCGGCUAGGGUUUUGAUGGCUGCAACAAUGGAGGGAGGAGGAGGUGGGCAGGGGUGGCGGCGGCCAAGGGGAAAGGAGGAGUGGGGGGGGGCUGCACAUGGGGGGGGGUAGUUAGGAGGGUGGCGGCUAGGGUUUGGGAGGGCUAAUGGGCCGAAACACCAAUUGCGGCCCAACUAACCCACGCGACAGCUCCCGACCGCAACGCAAACGUCAAACCAAAUAAAUUCUACUGCCCUAGUUGCGAAUGUUGUUCACAAAAUUCCAAAUCCCCAAAACAACAACUGGAUGAGGGAAAAAACAAAAAGAACAACCCCCAACUUCUCUUCUUUGCAAACCGGGUAUCACAUUCUACCCCUCUUAAAAAGAAUUCGACCUCGAAUUCUGACGCUUCUAUCGGAAUGACACAAGAAAAGAUUAGCGAAUCAACAACACUUACCCACAACGAAAAGUUCCGGGUACUUCUGCCGCAUCAACUCCUCAAGUUCCCAUGUAGCCUCGCGCUCUGACUGAUUAGACCAUAAGACCUUGACAUACUUAAUUGAUCUCUUCCUCAAC